UACGAAGGGGGCUAGCGUUGUUCGGAUUUACUGGGCGUAAAGCGCACGUAGGCGGAUCGUUAAGUCAGGGGUGAAAUCCUGGGGCUCAACCCCAGAACUGCCUUUGAUACUGGCGAUCUCGAGUCCGGAAGAGGUGAGUGGAACUCCUAGUGUAGAGGUGGAAUUCGUAGAUAUCGAGAGGAACACCGGUGGCGAAGGCGGCCUUCUGGACAGUGACUGACGCUGAGACGCGAAAGCGUGGGGAGCAAACAGG
Molecule: ribosomal RNA, 253 nt
Filed under: uncultured bacterium
Lineage: Bacteria
Description: partial 16S ribosomal RNA
Rfam family: Bacterial small subunit ribosomal RNA
Source: RNAcentral